CCUACGGGAGGCAGCAGUGAGGAAUAUUGGUCAAUGGGCGCGAGCCUGAACCAGCCAAGUAGCGUGAAGGAUGACUGCCCUACGGGUUGUAAACUUCUUUUGUAAAGGAGUAAAGUGAGGCACGUGUGCCUUUUUGUGUGUACUUUAUGAAUAAGCAUCGGCUAACUCCGUGCCAGCAGCCGCGGUAAUACGGAGGAUUCGAGCGUUAUCCGGAUUUAUUGGGUUUAAAGGGAGCGUAGAUGGGUUGUUAAGUCAGUUGUGAAAGUUGGGGGCUCAACCGUAAAAUUGCAAUUGAUACUGGCAGUCUUGAGUACAUGUGAGGUAUGCGGAAUUCGUGGUGUAGCGGUGAAAUGCUUAGAUAUCACGCAGAACUCCGAUUGCGAAGGCAGCGUACUAAACUGCCACUGACAUUGAUGCUCGAAAGUGUGGGUAUCAAACAGGAUUAGAUACCCGAGUAGUC
Molecule: ribosomal RNA, 460 nt
Filed under: uncultured bacterium
Lineage: Bacteria
Description: partial 16S ribosomal RNA
Rfam family: Bacterial small subunit ribosomal RNA
Source: RNAcentral